UUUUUGCCACGUCCUCAUAAAAGGAGCCACUGAUAGUAUGUCCCAGGAAAUGAAGAAAUGGAAGUAAUUUCCUUAGAAUUAACUAGACUCUUAGGCUGCUUGUCUGUGACAAGGGAUGUGAAAGAAAAAUCCCUUAUUCAAGGUGAUCUGCAAAGAAGAGCCAUGGGUACCUACAUGGAGCUGCAUAAUGAAAUCUGAAGUUUUUUAAGUUAUAAUUUUUUUUUCUGGUUGGAGGUAUGUAGGCAGGGACACAACAGGAAACAGUGUAGAUCCUACAGACAGUAGUAUACACAUUAUAUGAUGGAUAAGGUUAGCUCUGCCCUCUGCUAUAGGUUCUGACCUUGGUAAUCAUCUGAAAAGGGAGUUCUUCAAUUUCUUCCUUUAAUGUCCCACUGCCCAGUUUGAGAGCCAUGGAGGGUUACUGAGGUAUGUAUUUAAUUAAAUGAUGUUAAUAAACAAAAGUGUAAUUUAAAUCCUGGAAGGAGAACAUGGGUGAAAUAUUGGGGGCAAGAAUGUAGAAAUGGAAAAAUGACAUCAGAGUUACUGAAGAGCACUGCGCUGCACAGCCAGGCACCAAGGCCACAGGUAAACUGAGUUCAGGAGAAUCAGGAGGAAGAGAAGGCAGUGAGGGAGGGCCGUGAGGUGCAGAGACAGCUGGAAUGGACAGGAACAGCGGAUCCACAGCCAGGGUGGAAGCCAAAUUCCAGAAGGUAAAGUCACACAAUGAAAGGCAACAAACCCUCACGGGCUUUUAGCCACUGGAUUUGACGGGACAGACAUAGUAAUAAUCUCCAAGAAAGCAAUUUUAGCAGCAUAGGGGAGGGGUGGGGUUGUAUCACAAAGGUGAGCAAGAGAAUUAGAAAUGAAGUUAUGGGUUCAGAUGAUAACUUUGAAGAGUUCGACAGUAAAAUGAGUGAAAAAAGAAAAAGUAGCGCCCCCCCCCCCCAGGCCGAGGGCUGGGCGGGGUGGGAGGAGCCGCGCUCCGCAGCAGGAGGGAGAUCCGCCAUGAUGGAGUUGCGGGAAAGUUGGUCGAGUUCCCGGAGUUUCCCCCUGUGGUUACCCGGGCUCAGCUCCUUUCCUCCCUCCGGCCUCCAGGGUCCACCCCCUCCCUCUUUCUGCUCAGGACCGCCAUGGAGGCACCGCCGGCGCCCAGGAGUAAAAAAGCUGAGUGAAGACAGUUUGACUAAGCAGCCUGAAGAAGUUUUUGAUGUCUUAGAGAAGCUUGGAAAAGGGUCUUAUGGAAAUGUUUUUAAAGCAAUACAUAAAGAAUCUCGCCAAGUUGUUGCGACUAAACAAGUACCUGUUGAAUCUGAUCUUCAGGAAAUCAUCAAAGAAAUUUCCAUAAUGCAACAGUGUGACAGCCCAUAUGUUGUGAAGUACUAUGGCAGUUACUUUAAGAACACAGACCUCUGGAUUGUUAUGGAGUUCUGGGGAGCUGGCUCUGUCUCUGACAUAAUUAGAUUACAAAACAAGACAUUAGCAGAAGAUGAAAUUGCAACCAUUCUAAAAUCUACAUUGAAAGGAUUAGAAUAUUUGCACUAUGAGAAAAAUACAGAGAUAUAAAAGCUGGAAACAUUCUCAAUACAGAAGGACAUGCAAAAUUGGCAGAUUUUGGAGUGGCUGGUCAGUUAACAGAUACAAUGGCAAAACGCAAUACUGUGAUAGGAACUCCAUUUUGGAUGGCUCCUGAGGUAAUUCAAGAAAUAGGCUAUAACUGUGUGGCUGACACCUGGUCGCUUGGCAUUACUUCUAUAGAAAUGGCUGAAGGCAAACCUCCUUAUGCUGAUAUACAUCCAAUGAGGGCUAUUUUUAUGAUU
Heterocephalus glaber (naked mole-rat) is the source of this 1817-nucleotide non-coding RNA. NCBI's taxonomy places the organism in Eukaryota, Metazoa, Chordata, Mammalia, Rodentia, Bathyergidae. The record is from RefSeq and is a predicted model, not a curated record.